UAUGUCACAGGAGUGAUCCUUCUCCUGGUCCUUGACUGUACAACUUCACUCAGAGCCUUGAGGUCAGCAACUGUGCCUGCAGCAGGACUUUGGGAGUAGAUGAUCUCUAAGGUCCUUUCCAAUAGGGCUUUCUCAGACAGCACAGAAACCCUGGCCUGUAGCAGAAAAGUCAUACAAGUGAAGAUGAGAAAACCCCUGGAGAGCCUCAGUGUAGGGCCCUGCAGAGCCCCCUUUGACCACCAGAGGUCAGAAGCAAAACAUCGCAUCUCCACCACUGAACCCUCAUUUCCUCUGUCGCUGUCCUGGAGAGGGAGAAGCAAAGGAAUCAGCAGAAAUGCCGCUUCAUUCACAGAGAGGAUGGAGACAGUAACACGAAGGACCGCAGGCGAUGGAGGCGGAAGGUGGCAAGGAACGCAGACAGAACCUAAAAGCCUCAUCAAAACCUGUGUGGAUAUUCAAAAAAAAAAAAAAAAAGAAAAGAAAAGAAAAAAAGAAAAAAAAGGCAUUUGCAACUUUCCUGCAAUAGUGCUUUUAUUCUUUGCAAACACAUUUCUGGAACACUAAAAAAGCAUCUGAGCAUAAUAAGCAACCAACAGAGCGAAUUUUCCCAGCCGUAAAGCCUGGAUCAGCUCACGGCAGUUCUCCAGAGGAGCUAGAAAAGACCUUCAAGAUCAUCAAGUCCAACCACCAACCUGACCUACUGAGUCUCAGACAGCUUCCACCUUUCCCUUUUGCUGAUCUUGAUCCUAAAAAUCUCAGGAAACACUGGCAGAUCAUUCAUCCGAUUAAGUUGCUGCUGUGAAGUCAGAAAAAAGUAUUUCAGAAUUCUUGGAGAGCAGACUGUUUUAAUGGCUAUGGGAAGACACAGCAAUCUUCCUCAAGAGCUGUAUGUAACUUGGAGGUAGCAGGGAAGACAACUACUAGAUCCAUCAAUUGCCGGUGAAAAACUGGGAGCAGGUCUUAAUCAGUUAAGCAGGGAAGCACUGCUUGACAGCUCCCUUCGGGAUGAGCCUCAUUUGGGGCCUGACUACUCAGCAGGAUUAGCAACUUCAAGCACCAGAAAGUUGACCUUAAACAAAGGAGAAAGCCCUGAUUUUUUUCCCAAGACAUGACAGCGGUGCAUAUUAGGAUGUGAUGAGGAAAGAAAUUGGCUGAGGGGUUUUUUUUUGGGCCACCGCGGGGCUUUUUCUAGCAGAGGAACCGUGUCAGCAAUUUUGGUGACUUUAUCCCCACUCUGCUGAGGCUGAUGCUGCUCACACAGCACACCCGCCAGCAAGGUUCUGCUGGCAGAAACCUGCCCUCGUGUUUGGUGCGAGCUGCAGGCACGUUGCAUAAGACGCCUGCCCUGUUUUCUUGGCACUUUGGUGUCAGACUGACUGCUCUCUUCCCCUUGCAAAAGUUCUUUGGUUGGGUCAGCAUUUAAGCACUAUGUAUAUAUAACUGCAUUGGCAUACAGAUAUAAGCAAACAUAUGAAUUUAUAGGUGUGUAUAUACACACAUUGGACAGAGAUUUCAGAUAUCAGACAGUGUAUCUACCUGAUCAUGUAAGAAUAUCUAUGUAUUGUAAUCUCUAUAAUGAAGAGUUUCACUGAAAAUACUCCCUCUUUACCCCCAUUUUAAUUUUUAUGUAUUGUUCCUUCUCUUACUUCUCCAUUUAUCCUUUUUCAAAUGUAUUGUCUAAUAAAUAGAGACUGUAAUUGCCUUGGAACCAAUUAUUCGGUGACAUACACCAAAGGAUGAUAAAAAUCUUUUGAAUGUUUGGAUGUAAUGGGGAAGCACCCGAACAUUUACAUUGUGUCCUUCACCAGCAGCGUUCAUCUCAUAUCUCUGCACUUUAAUACAAGGACAUCACUGCAUUACAUGAUAUCUUAUGAAAGCACAAUUUGUAAACAUAUAUGCAGUUGAAAAUAAAGAUGAAAAUCAUACUUAA
Molecule: non-coding RNA, 1930 nt
Organism: Coturnix japonica (Japanese quail)
Lineage: Eukaryota; Metazoa; Chordata; Aves; Galliformes; Phasianidae
Source: RefSeq, a predicted model, not a curated record